Molecule: non-coding RNA, 179 nt
Filed under: Aeribacillus pallidus
Lineage: Bacteria; Bacillati; Bacillota; Bacilli; Caryophanales; Bacillaceae
Source: RNAcentral
UGAAAACCUAACGACAAAGGUGCUGUUUUCAGCUUAAAAGGGAAUCCGGUGAGAAUCCGGAACUGUCCCCGCAACUGUGAGUGCUACGAAAUGAAUAAUCCACUGUACGUUUCGUAUGGGAAGGAUUCAAAGUAGGAUGAAGCACGAGUCAGGAGACCUGCCUUUGUCCGAACGUUUCU